This 246-nucleotide non-coding RNA is filed under the name Agrilactobacillus composti. RNAcentral describes it as "Lactobacillus composti T-box sequence". It matches the Rfam family "T-box leader". Rfam says of the family: Uncharged tRNA acts as the effector for transcription antitermination of genes in the T-box leader family. T-boxes are found upstream of many aminoacyl-tRNA synthetase genes and some amino acid biosynthetic genes usually in Gram-positive bacteria. The anticodon of a specific tRNA base pairs to a specifier sequence within the T-box motif, and the NCCA acceptor tail of the tRNA base pairs to a conserved bulge in the T-box antiterminator hairpin. The record is from RNAcentral. Lineage: Bacteria; Bacillati; Bacillota; Bacilli; Lactobacillales; Lactobacillaceae.
AAGCCAAUGAUUAAAAGAUGAGUAAAUAUCAAAAGCUUUCUAGAGAGUCGUGGGGUGGUGCAACACGAUAAGUGGUGAUAUUGAAGUAUGGUCUUUGUAUAAUCUUAACUUCUGAACUUUGGUUAGGAAGUUAUGGGUACGCCCAUUAACGCGUAGGAGUAUCGCCGUUUGGCCGUACUUUUUGAGGCAUCAUAGCUUGCGUUAUGAUGUAAAUUUAGGUGGUACCGCGAUUAUAUCGUCCUAUGG